This 615-nucleotide long non-coding RNA is filed under the name Eutrema salsugineum. RNAcentral's name for it is "long non-coding RNA (ESAL_LNC000193)". Lineage: Eukaryota; Viridiplantae; Streptophyta; Magnoliopsida; Brassicales; Brassicaceae. The record is from RNAcentral.
UUCAUAAUCAUCCCGGAAAUCUGUUCAUAAAUAUCUUCUGGCUGUCCAUUCACCGGAACUCGAGUUAUCCCGGGAAGAUCGACCAUGGUAAGAUCGGGAACACCAGAUUUCUUUACAUGGAGGGUCAAGGGAGUGUCUGAGACCCCUUUUCCAGAUCCUGCAACAUGAAUUUUCACAAGGUACUUAUCACAAUCAAGACUUCCAUUGGUUAGUCUAAAGCAUAUAUCACUCUAGAGUUUUAUCAGAUAGCAAAACUAGUGUAAUAGCAUGAAAAAUAUCGAUCAUUAAAAAGAUCCACUAGGUAACACCUCUAGGCAUUAGUAUUCAGUAUAUGCACAUGUAGUUUCAGGGAGUACUAUAUAAGUAGCUACAGAUCGGUUUGAAUGUGAAUAUUUUAGGCAAAAGGUGUUAUUUUCAUUUUCAGAAUCAAUCAUUGCAGGUUUUAACAGUUAAUAGUAUGGAAGGAGAGAAGAAAAACUUACCAGCAAUUACAUCAGUUGCUGCACAAAUAGCUUCAGUAAUGCGUUCCUCAUCCGUAGGAACAACUUGGUCACCAAACUCAAGCCAGAUCUCAGGUUCAGGGUUAGGACUUCGCUGAAGCCUCAUCACAAGAGG